This 484-nucleotide ribosomal RNA is filed under the name uncultured bacterium. RNAcentral describes it as "partial 16S ribosomal RNA". It matches the Rfam family "Bacterial small subunit ribosomal RNA", at positions 29 to 507 of the family's 1533-position model. The record is from RNAcentral.
AUUGAACGCUGGCGGCAUGCUUUACACAUGCAAGUCGAACGGCAGCGCGGGCUUCGGCCUGGCGGCGAGUGGCGAACGGGUGAGUAAUGCAUCGGAACGUGCCCAGUAGUGGGGGAUAGCCCGGCGAAAGCCGGAUUAAUACCGCAUACGACCUGAGGGUGAAAGCGGGGGACCGAAAGGCCUCGCGCUAUUGGAGCGGUCGAUGUCGGAUUAGCUAGUUGGUGGGGUAAAGGCUUACCAAGGCGACGAUCCGUAGCUGGUCUGAGAGGACGACCAGCCACACUGGAACUGAGACACGGCCCAGACUCCUACGGGAGGCAGCAGUGGGGAAUUUUGGACAAUGGGGGCAACCCUGAUCCAGCCAUGCCGCGUGCGGGAAGAAGGCCUUCGGGUUGUAAACCGCUUUUGUUCGGGAAGAAAUCCUCUGGGCUAAUACCCCGGGGGGAUGACGGUACCGGAAGAAUAAGCACCGGCUAACUACGUG